Molecule: ribosomal RNA, 229 nt
Filed under: uncultured bacterium
Lineage: Bacteria
Description: partial 16S ribosomal RNA
Rfam family: Bacterial small subunit ribosomal RNA
Source: RNAcentral
GACGAACGCUGGCGGCGUGCUUAACACAUGCAAGUCGAGCGGUAAGGCCCUUUCGGGGGUACACGAGCGGCGAACGGGUGAGUAACACGUGGGUGACCUGCCCUCAGCUCUGGGAUAAGCCCGGGAAACUGGGUCUAAUACUGGAUAUGACUCCAUGACGCAUGUUGUGGGGUGGAAAGCCUUGUGCGGCUGAGGAUGGGCCCGCGGCCUAUCAGCUUGUUGGUGGGGG